RNAcentral lists this transfer RNA (72 nucleotides) under Camelus bactrianus (Bactrian camel). It matches the Rfam family "tRNA". From Rfam's summary of the family: Transfer RNA (tRNA) molecules are approximately 80 nucleotides in length. RNAcentral also lists the same sequence under 1 other name. The record is from Rfam by way of RNAcentral. Lineage: Eukaryota; Metazoa; Chordata; Mammalia; Artiodactyla; Camelidae.
GAGGGUAUAGCUCAGUGGUAGAGUUUGCGCUUAGCGCCCAUGAGGUCCUGGGUUCAAUCCCCAGUACCUCCC